RNAcentral lists this microRNA precursor (94 nucleotides) under Dasypus novemcinctus (nine-banded armadillo). RNAcentral describes it as "miRNA (ENSDNOG00000028295.1)". The stretch from base 6 to 89 matches the Rfam family "mir-632 microRNA precursor family". Lineage: Eukaryota; Metazoa; Chordata; Mammalia; Cingulata; Dasypodidae. The record is from RNAcentral.
CGCCUCUGGCCGCAGUGCCUGACGGGAGGCGGAGAGGCGAAAGAGACUGUCCGCCAUUUUGUGUCUGUUUCCUGUGGGACGCGGUCAUAACCGU